AUAAUGAGUCAGCGAGUUACUCUACCGUGCGAGGUUAAGCGAAAGCGUAGCCGUAGUGAAAGCGAGGCUUAAUAGGCCGACUAGUACGUUGGAGUAGACCCGAAACCGGGUGAUCUAUCCAUGAGCAGGUUGAAGCAAGGGUAAAGCCUUGUGGAGGACCGAACCGUCAACGGCUGAAAACGUUCCGGAUGACUUGUGGAUAGGGGUGAAAGGUCAAUCAAACCCGGUGAUAGCUGGUUCUCCCCGAAAUAUAUUGAGGUAUAGCCUCGGGAAUUGAUUAGCGGAGGUAAAGCACUGACAGAGCUAGGGGUCCUACCAGAUUACCAAACUCUAUCAAACUCAGAAUGCCGCUUAAUUGUAUCCCGGGAGUCAGACGGCGGGUGCGAAGGUUCGUCGUCAAAAGGGAAACAGCCCAGACCAACAGCUAAGGUCUCCAAAUCCAUGCUCAGUGGUGAAGGUAGUGGAACCGUUUAGACAGCCAGGACGUUGGCUUAGAAGCAGCCAUCGUUUAAAGAAAGCGUAAUAGCUCACUGGUCUAAUGGCUCUGCGCCGAAAAUGUAACGGGGCUAAGCAUGGUACCGAAGCUUUGGCAAUCCCCUUUGGGGAUUGGGUAGGGGAGCGUUCGCUGCGGGCUGAAGGUGUGCCGGAAGGCAUGCUGGACUGCAGUGAAGUGAUUAUGCUGACAUGAGUAACGAUAAAAUAUGUGAAAAACAUAUUCGCCGAAAACCCGAGGUUUCCUGGGUAAAGGUAAUCUUCCCAGGGUUAGUCGGAUCCUAAGGUGAGGGUGAAAGCCGUAACCGAUGGAAAACAGGUUAAUAUUCCUGUACUUGUUGUGUAGCGCGAUGGAGGGAUGCAGGAAGAUAGGCGGGCCGGGUGUUGGAUAUCCCGGUGCAAGCGUGUAGGAAUAUCCGGUAGGCAAAUCCGCCGGACGAAUCUGAGACGCGAGUCCGUGGGCGCAAGCCCUGAAGCCGUUGAGUCUAUGCUGCCUAGAAAAGCUCCUAAGUUUAUCCACAGCAAUCCGUACCGCAAACCAACUCAGGUGGGUGGGAUGAACAAUCCAAGGCGCUCGAGAGAAUCAUGGCCAAGGAACUCGGCAAAAUAACCCCGUAACUUCGGAAGAAGGGGUGCUCUCUAGGGUGACAUGUUUAACAUAUGAAGCCCCGGGGAGCCGCAGUGAAUUGGUGGUGGCGACUGUUUACUAAAAACAUAGGUCUGUGCGAAGUCCUAAAGACGACGUAUACGGACUGACGCCUGCCCGGUGCUGGAAGGUUAAAAGGAGGGGUCAGCGCAAGCAAAGCUCCGAAUUGAAGCCCCAGUAAACGGCGGCCGUAACUAUAACGGUCCUAAGGUAGCGAAAUUCCUUGUCGGGUAAGUUCCGACCUGCACGAAUGGCGUAACGAUCUCCACACUGUCUCGGCCAGAGACUCGGUGAAAUUGCAGUCGCGGUGAAAAUUCCGUGUACCCGCAGAAAGACGGAAAGACCCUGUGCACCUUUACUAUAGCUUGACAUUGGAUUUUGGGCCUGCAUGUGUAGGAUAGGUGGGAGGCUGUGAACCCUGUACGCCAGUAUGGGGGGAGCCAUCCUUGAAAUACCACCCUUGCAUGUUUAAGUCCUAACUUCUUCCGGUUAUCCCGGAGAAAGACAGUGUCUGGCGGGUAGUUUGACUGGGGCGGUCGCCUCCUAAAGUGUAACGGAGGCAUGCAAAGGUUCCCUCAGCCUGAUCGGAAACCAGGCGCUGAGUGCAAACGCAUAAGGGAGCUUGACUGUAAGAGAGACAUCUCGAACAGGAACGAAAGUUGGCGUUAGUGAUCCGGUGGUCCCGAAUGGAAGGGCCAUCGCUCAUUGGAUAAAAGGUACGCCGGGGAUAACAGGCUGAUCGCAUCCAAGAGUUCACAUCGACGAUGCGGUUUGGCACCUCGAUGUCGGCUCAUCACAUCCUGGGGCUGUAGCAGGUCCCAAGGGUACGGCUGUUCGCCGUUUAAAGUGGUACGCGAGCUGGGUUUAAAACGUCGUGAGACAGUUUGGUCCCUAUCUUCUGUGGGCGAAGGAGAAUUGAGAGGGCCUGUCCCUAGUACGAGAGGACCGGGAUGGACGCACCCCUGGUGAUCCUGUUGUCGCGCCAGCGGCAUAGCAGGGUAGCUAUGUGCGGAAGGGAUAACCGCUGAAAGCAUCUAAGCGGGAAGCCUGCCUCAAGAUAAGUUCUCCCCUCGAAAGAGCUGAAGGGCCCGGGUAGACUCCCCGGUCGAUAGGCUGGAGGUGUAAGCGCGGCGACGUGCUCAGCUGACCAGUACUAAUAGCCCGAGCGGCUUAUUUUU
This 2316-nucleotide ribosomal RNA is filed under the name human gut metagenome. RNAcentral describes it as "bacterial LSU rRNA". It matches the Rfam family "Bacterial large subunit ribosomal RNA", at positions 612 to 2925 of the family's 2925-position model. The record is from RNAcentral.